This is a non-coding RNA of Capra hircus (goat), 73 nucleotides long. Lineage: Eukaryota; Metazoa; Chordata; Mammalia; Artiodactyla; Bovidae. The record is from the annotation of a RefSeq genome assembly.
UCCCUGAUGGUCCAGUGGUUAGAACUCCGUGCUGCUGACUCAGGGGGCCCAGGUUCAAUCCCUGGUCAGGGAA